ACUAUAGAUGUGCACCUCCACACCUGGCUAAUUUUUUCUAUUUUUUUUUAUAGAGGCAGAAUCUCACUGUGUUGCCAUGCUGGUCUCUAACUCCUGGGUUCAGCAGUCCUCUUUCCACCUCCCAAAGUGCUGGGAUUAUAGUCAUGAGCCACUUCACCAGGCUCAUUUUCUCCUGAAAUGUCAAGGACAAAUCAUUAAUAAUGAGCAGGAAUUUUUAGGGGAAAAACAAUUUGGUUUACUGAUAACAAAAGGUAAUUGGAAACAUGAGAGUAUUUAUGAUUGGCCAAGCAGAACUGUGAAGUCCAUCAAAAUUCAUAUGAUGAAAUCUUCACCCUCAAGUUGAUAGAAGGUGGAGCCUUUGGGAAGUAUAAGAUAUGAGGGUGGAGCCCUCAUGAAUGGGAUUAGUGCCUUAUAAAAGGCCCCAGAGAGAUUCCUCAUACUCUCCACAGUGUGAGACUUCAAGGGGCCUGGUCUCUGAGGAAGUGGACUUUUCACAAGCACAAAUCAACCAGCACUUUAAUCAUGGACUUCCCAGUCUCCAGGACUGUGAGCAAUAAAUGUUUGACGUUUAUAAGCCACCCAGAUUGUGGCAUUUUGUUAUAGCAGCCUGAACAGACUAAGAUGGGGUGUUGCCUCCAUCAAAGAAUAUACUAACUUGUGGAUUAUUUGUGAAAUUGAAUUACAGUCAUUUCUGUAAGGUCUUUUACUGCUCCUUCCCCCACAAAAAAAAAACAAAGCAAAACUGAUUCAAAAUGUCAUACUUUAAUGAAACAUUUUAUAAUUUGCAAAUUUUUAAGUAAUUUGUAAAAAAUCUUGAUCAGUGGAUCUCCUCUCUAGCUGCUCAUUAGAAUUUCCUGUGGAGAUUAAAUUUUUUGUUUGUUUGUGGAUCAAGGGUUCUGACUUGUUUAGGGUAGGGUUCAGGAUCAUAGGGUUUCUGAAGCUCCCGGGUGAUUCUGCUGUGAGUUGGGGCUGCCAGUCCCUGAGCUAGAUUAUAAGAUGCUUCUGGGAAAUAACCGUAUUUUAGGAAUUUGCCUUCCAACCAGUGCCCUAUGUUUAAUCAGCACCUGAUGACUUGGCGGGGCUUGCCCCACCACGGUCUGGCUUUGAAGGGCAGUGGAUGCCAGGACCAUUUGGAUUAAUCUUCUGCCACCUCUUUCUUUUCCUCAACCAAGAGUGAAUUUAAUUUUAUUUAAUCUAGUGAAAGUCUACAAAUCAUAAUUGUAAUAAAUUAAGGCCAGGCAUUUGUUUUAUAUUAGAUAAGAUAAAGCCAAAGGUUUGAACAAGUUGUAGAUGGUUUGUAAACAUUAAUCUUGUAAAAUAAAUUCUCUGUGAACAUAUUUAUUAAAUUCAAAAGGGUAUUUGGUUUUUCUGUAAAUUGAACCUUGGAAUAAAAGCACAACAAGGUUUUCUUAAAGCACUGAUCUGCUCUUUUACAAGAAUUUGUAAAGGGUUAUAAAAGGUUUAUAAGAAUCUCACUUCAUGGUCAAACUGGUUAAGAUUGGAUAGAUUUAUCUAUAAGGUUUUAUUAAAAAUUGGGGAUGACGUUGUUAGUAGAUUGAUGCAAGGGUGUAAUUUGACUCUUGAACAAGAUUUUCAUGUAAUAGUCAAGGAUAAUGAAAGAUUUUUGUUUGCCUUGUGAAUAAACUACCAAAAAAAGAAGGGAAAGGAAAGAGACAAAUUGUUAGGAAAGUUGUCUUCCCUCUUACUGAGUAAAGGUUGUGUGCCUUUU
This is a long non-coding RNA of Sapajus apella (tufted capuchin), 1729 nucleotides long. RefSeq lists it as uncharacterized. The transcript is spliced from 2 exons. NCBI's taxonomy places the organism in Eukaryota, Metazoa, Chordata, Mammalia, Primates, Cebidae. The record is from RefSeq and is a predicted model, not a curated record.